This 253-nucleotide ribosomal RNA is filed under the name uncultured bacterium. RNAcentral describes it as "partial 16S ribosomal RNA". It matches the Rfam family "Bacterial small subunit ribosomal RNA", at positions 524 to 776 of the family's 1533-position model. The record is from RNAcentral.
UACAGAGGUCUCGAGCGUUGUUCGGAUUCAUUGGGCGUAAAGGGUGCGUAGGCGGCGGGGUAAGUCGGAUGUGAAAUCCUGGGGCUCAACCCCAGAACUGCAUUCGAUACUGCCUUGCUCGAGUACUGGAGAGGAGACUGGAAUUUACGGUGUAGCAGUGAAAUGCGUAGAUAUCGUAAGGAAGACCAGUGGCGAAGGCGGCUCACUGGUCCGGUACUGACGCUGAGGUGCGAAAGCGUGGGGAGCAAACAGG